RNAcentral lists this ribosomal RNA (279 nucleotides) under uncultured bacterium. RNAcentral's name for it is "partial 16S ribosomal RNA". It matches the Rfam family "Bacterial small subunit ribosomal RNA", at positions 506 to 784 of the family's 1533-position model. The record is from RNAcentral.
UGCCAGCAGCCGCGGUAAUACAGAGGGUGCAAACGUUGCUCGGAAUUAUUGGGCGUAAAGCGCGUGUAGGCGGUCCAUUAAGUUGGUUGUGAAAGCCCUCGGCUCAACCGAGGAAGUGCAACCAAAACUGGUGGACUUGAGUCCCGAAGAGGGUGGCGGAAUGCCCAGUGUAGAGGUGAAAUUCGCAGAUAUUGGGUAGAACACCGGUGGCGAAGGCGGCCGCCUGGGAGGGCACUGACGCUGAGACGCGAAAGCGUGGGGAGCAAACAGGAUUAGAUA